Molecule: ribosomal RNA, 434 nt
Filed under: uncultured Clostridium sp.
Lineage: Bacteria; Bacillati; Bacillota; Clostridia; Eubacteriales; Clostridiaceae
Description: partial 16S ribosomal RNA
Rfam family: Bacterial small subunit ribosomal RNA
Source: RNAcentral
ACGGAAGGCAGCAGUGGGGAAUAUUGCACAAUGGGGGAAACCCUGAUGCAGCAACGCCGCGUGAGUGAAGAAGUAUUUCGGUAUGUAAAGCUCUAUCAGCAGGGAAGAAAAUGACGGUACCUGACUAAGAAGCCCCGGCUAACUACGUGCCAGCAGCCGCGGUAAUACGUAGGGGGCAAGCGUUAUCCGGAUUUACUGGGUGUAAAGGGAGCGUAGACGGCGAAGCAAGUCUGAAGUGAAAGCCCACGGCUCAACCGUGGAACUGCUUUGGAAACUGUUUUGCUAGAGUGCAGGAGGGGCAGGCGGAAUUCCUAGUGUAGCGGUGAAAUGCGUAGAUAUUAGGAGGAACACCAGUGGCGAAGGCGGCUUACUGGACUGUAACUGACGUUGAGGCUCGAAAGCGUGGGGAGCAAACAGGAUUAGAUACCCUGGUA